RNAcentral lists this ribosomal RNA (407 nucleotides) under uncultured bacterium. RNAcentral describes it as "partial 16S ribosomal RNA". It matches the Rfam family "Bacterial small subunit ribosomal RNA", at positions 30 to 526 of the family's 1533-position model. The record is from RNAcentral.
AUUGAACGCUGGCGGCAGGCCUAACACAUGCAAGUCGAGCGGAGCGGCGGACGGGUGAGUAAUGCCUAGGAAUCUGCCUGGUAGUGGGGGAUCACGUCCGGAAACGGGCGCUAAUACCGCAUACUCUAAGGUGACCCUAGGUCGGAUUAGCUAGUUGGUGGGGUAAAGGCCUACCAAGGUGACGAGCCGUAACUGGUCUGAGAGGAUGAUCAGUCACACUGGAACUGAGACACGGGCCAGACUCCUACGGGAGGCAGCAGUGGGGAAUAUUGGACAAUGGGCGAAAGCCUGAUCCAGCCAUGCCGCGUGUGUGAAGAAGGUCUUCGGAUUGUAAAGCACUUUAAGUUGGGAGGCGUUACCAACAGAAUAAGCACCGGCUAACUACGUGCCAGCAGCCGCGGUAAUUC